Molecule: non-coding RNA, 115 nt
Organism: Streptococcus dysgalactiae subsp. dysgalactiae ATCC 27957
Lineage: Bacteria; Bacillati; Bacillota; Bacilli; Lactobacillales; Streptococcaceae
Source: Rfam
AAAACCUUUAAAUGACGUCCAGAGAGGCGAACAAGGAAUACAGGAGAAAAAGAGGAUGAACUUUCCCUCUUACUUUGGUGUAGCCUCGCUUCUUUGGAAGCGAGGUCUUUUGCUA